CUACGGGUCGCAGCAGUUAGGAAUUUUCUACAAUGCGCGCAAGCGUGAUAGAGCAAGCCAGAGUGCCCAUUUAUUAAUGGGCUUUUGCCAAAUGUAAAAAGUUUGGCGAAUAAGGACUGGGUAAGACGGGUGCCAGCCGCCGCGGUAAUCCCCGCGGUCCAAGUCGCAGCCAUCAUUAUUGGGUCUAAAACAUCCGUAGCUUGCUUCGUAAGUUCUUUGUGAAAUCCGGCAUCUCAAGUGUCGGGCGUGCAAAGAGUACUGCGGAGCUAGAGAUCGGGAGACGUGAGAAGUACGUUCAGAGUAGUAGUGAAAUAUUUUAAUCCUGGACGGACUCACAACAGCGAAGGCAUCUCACGAGAACGGUUCUGACAGUAAGGGAUGAAGGCUAGGGGCGCAAAAGGGAUUAGAUACCCUUGUAGUC
RNAcentral lists this ribosomal RNA (421 nucleotides) under uncultured archaeon. RNAcentral's name for it is "partial 16S ribosomal RNA". It matches the Rfam family "Archaeal small subunit ribosomal RNA", at positions 323 to 746 of the family's 1478-position model. The record is from RNAcentral.